GAUAACUGGCUUGUGGCAGCCAAGCGUUCAUAGCGACGUUCCUUUUUUAUUCCUUCGAUGUCGGCUCUUCCUAUAAUUGUGAAGCAGAAUUCACCAAGUGUUGGAUUGUUCACCCACCAAUAGGGAACGUGAGCUGGGUUUAGACCGUCGUGAGACAGGUU
Ribosomal RNA from Nicotiana attenuata, 161 nucleotides. It matches the Rfam family "Eukaryotic large subunit ribosomal RNA", at positions 2825 to 2984 of the family's 3401-position model. The record is from Rfam. Lineage: Eukaryota; Viridiplantae; Streptophyta; Magnoliopsida; Solanales; Solanaceae.